GGUGAUAGCCCCGUACGCGAAAAGACCUGUGUGGUACUGAGCUAACGACAAGUAGGGCGGGACACGUGUAAUCCUGUCUGAAUAUGGGGGGACCAUCCUCCAACGCUAAAUACUCAUCAUCGACCGAUAGUGAACUAGUACCGUGAGGGAAAGGCGAAAAGAACCCCGGGAGGGGAGUGAAAUAGAUCCUGAAACCGCAUGCUUACAAAAAGUAGGAGCCUCGCAAGGGGUGACUGCGUACCUUUUGUAUAAUGGGUCAGCGACUUACAUUCAGUGGCAAGCUUAACCGAAUAGGGAAGGCGUAGGGAAACCGAGUCCGAAUAGGGCGAUUCAGUCGCUGGGUGUAGACCCGAAACCAAGUGAUCUAUCCAUGGCCAGGAUGAAGGUGCCGUAACAGGUACUGGAGGUCCGAACCGACUAGUGUUGCAAAACUAGCGGAUGAGCUGUGGAUAGGGGUGAAAGGCUAAACAAACUUGGAAAUAGCUGGUUCUCUCCGAAAACUAUUUAGGUAGUGCCUCAAGUAUUACCGUCGGGGGUAGAGCACUGUUUUGGCUAGGGGGUCAUGGCGACUUACCAAACCAAGGCAAACUCCGAAUACCGACGAGUACAGCUUGGGAGACAGAGCACCGGGUGCUAACGUCCGGACUCAAGAGGGAAACAACCAGACCGCCAGCUAAGGUCCCUAAAAUUGGCUAAGUGGGAAACGAAGUGGGAAGGCUAAAACAGUCAGGAUGUUGGCUUAGAAGCAGCCAUCAUUUAAAGAAAGCGUAAUAGCUCACUGAUCGAGUCGUCCUGCGCGGAAGAUGUAACGGGGCUAAGCCAGUUACCGAAGCUGCGGAUUUGCAAUUUAUUGCAAGUGGUAGGAGAGCGUUCUGUAAGCCUGUGAAGGUGGUGGUGUAAACCCUGCUGGAGGUAUCAGAAGUGCGAAUGCUGACAUGAGUAGCGUUAAAGGGGGUGAAAAGCCCCCUCGCCGUAAGCGCAAGGUUUUCUACGCAACGUUCAUCGGCGUAGAGUGAGUCGGCCCCUAAGGCGAGGCAGAAAUGCGUAGUUGAUGGGAAACAGGUCAAUAUUCCUGUACCGAUGUGUAGUGCGAUGUGGGGACGGAGAAGGUUAGCUCAGCCAACUGUUGGAUAUGUUGGUUCAAGCCUGUAGUCGUGCCUGGUAGGUAAAUCCGCCGGGCUUAGAUGAGGGGUGAUAACGAGGAGGCUUGCCUCCGAAGUGAGUGAUACCCUGCUUCCAGGAAAAGCCACUAAGCUUCAGCUUCACACGACCGUACCGCAAACCGACACUGGUGCGCGAGAUGAGUAUUCUAAGGCGCUUGAGAGAACUCAGGAGAAGGAACUCGGCAAAUUGACACCGUAACUUCGGAAGAAGGUGUGCCUUUAGUAGGUGAACCUGUACAAGGGGAGCCCAAUGAGGUUGCAAAAAAUCGGUGGCUGCGACUGUUUAAUAAAAACACAGCACUCUGCAAACACGAAAGUGGACGUAUAGGGUGUGACGCCUGCCCGGUGCUGGAAGAUUAAAUGAUGGGGAGCAAGCUCUUGAUUGAAGUCCCAGUAAACGGCGGCCGUAACUAUAACGGUCCUAAGGUAGCGAAAUUCCUUGUCGGGUAAGUUCCGACCUGCACGAAUGGCGUAACGAUGGCCACACUGUCUCCUCCUGAGACUCAGCGAAGUUGAAAUGUUUGUGAUGAUGCAAUCUCCCCGCGGAAAGACGGAAAGACCCCAUGAACCUUUACUGUAGCUUUGUAUUGGACUUUGAACAGAUCUGUGUAGGAUAGGUGGGAGGCUUUGAAGUGUGGUCGCUAGAUCGCAUGGAGCCAACGUUGAAAUACCACCCUGGUGUGUUUGAGG
Molecule: ribosomal RNA, 1853 nt
Filed under: metagenome
Description: bacterial LSU rRNA
Rfam family: Bacterial large subunit ribosomal RNA
Source: RNAcentral